AAUGAACGCUGGCGGCGCGCCUAAUACAUGCAAGUCGAGCGAGAAGACGUAGCAAUACGUUUGUAAAGCGGCGAACGGGUGAGGAAUACAUGGGUAACCUACCCUAGAGUGGGGAAUAACUAGCCGAAAGGUUAGCUAAUACCGCGUACGCUCCUUGGACUUCGGUUCAGGGAGGAAAGCGAUGCCGAGGGUAUCGCGCUCUUGGAUGGGGCUCAUGUCCUAUCAGCUGUUGGUGAGGUAACGGCUCACCAAGGCUUCGACGGGUAGCUGGUCUGAGAGGACGAUCAGCCACACUGGCACUGCGACACGGGGCCAGACUCCUACGGGAGGCAGCAGUAAGGAAUAUUGCGCAAUGGGCGAAAGCCUGACGCAGCGACGCCGCGGUGGGGGAU
Molecule: ribosomal RNA, 392 nt
Filed under: uncultured bacterium
Lineage: Bacteria
Description: bacterial SSU rRNA
Rfam family: Bacterial small subunit ribosomal RNA
Source: RNAcentral